UACGUAGGGCGCAAGCGUUAUCCGGAAUUAUUGGGCGUAAAGAGCUCGUAGGCGGUUUGUCGCGUCUGCCGUGAAAGUCCGGGGCUCAACUCCGGAUCUGCGGUGGGUACGGGCAGACUAGAGUGAUGUAGGGGGAGACUGGAAUUCCUGGUGUAGCGGUGAAAAUGCGCAGAUAUCAGGAGGAACACCGAUGCGAAGGCAGGGUCUCUGGGCAUUUAACUGACGUGAGGAGCGAAAAGCAUGGGGGAGC
This 250-nucleotide ribosomal RNA is filed under the name uncultured bacterium. Its description in RNAcentral is "partial 16S ribosomal RNA". It matches the Rfam family "Bacterial small subunit ribosomal RNA", at positions 524 to 769 of the family's 1533-position model. The record is from RNAcentral.